ACAAAGAUUUGGUGUUUUGCAUUAAUGCUUCUCUUUCUCUUUCUGCCCUGUCCCUUUCUCUCCCUGUGCAGCUCCGAAAAGCAAAGUGCAGUGUUUGCACCUGGGAAGCAUGAAGUGUCCCAAGUGUUGCUUUGUUUCUCGAGAUGAUUCUGCCAGAUUUUGCAGCAGCUGUGGGGUCCAGCUGGCCACUGUUGCCGGUACAGGGCACAAGGACCCAGAAGGAGGAGAGGUGAAGUCAGCUCCAGUCCCUGAUAUGGGAGUGGAGCCUGGAGGAAAGCUGAAGAGAGGAGGUGCUGAUGGGCUGCCUUCCACCACUGAAACAGAGGAGGAGGAGGGAGCGUUGCUGCUGGAGAGCAUAAGAGCUCUGAGCGAUACCUUGGAGAUCACACCUGAAUGCACUACACAUGGGCCUCCUGUCACCAAACCAAAGGAGGAGGAGGGAGCAUCGCUGCUGGAGAGCAUGGGAGCUCUGGGUGAUACCUCAGAGACUGCACCUGAGUGCAUGACAGAUGUUUCCUCUGGAAAGUCCCGGCGGAAGGAAAAAAGGAAAGAAAAAAGAAAGAGGAGUAAAGCAAAGAUGAAUCCUUCUGACUCUGGGGAACAGAACUCUUUGCCUCCUCUAAGCACAACACCAGCUCAAACACCAGAAAUGAUUGAUACACACGUGGUUCCACAAAGCAGUGAAGUAGCCAAACCUCAUACUGAUUUACUUGGCGACGAUGGAGGUGCACGUGAAAGUGAUAGUGUCUUGGGUCACUUGGAAAAGGAGGCUCAAAGUCUGGAAAUGAUUGCAGAAGAUGGUCACAGCAUGAUGACCUCAUCAAAGCAGAGUAGCACUGGUGAUGUGGCUGCCCCAUCUACAAGCUCUGCAGCCCCAGAGGAGAAGGUGGGGUGUGGAAGUACUGCAGAGCAUGAAGAAACAGUCAGGAGUGAUGUGGAAGGGGACAGUGGUGCAUCUGACAUUGGCCAGCUUCCAGAAGCCAGGCCAGAUUCCCAGUCCUUGGGCAGCAGAGACAAACUAGCCUUGAAGGGAAACGGAGGAAGCAUCCCCUCUGGGUUUUCCCCUGAUAUAGAAGCACCUGAAAGUAAGCCCGUAAUGUCUUGCACUGCCCAUCAAAGUCAAGAUGUGGAGACUCCACCUGUGGUCAAAAACUCACAGGCCGGGAAGGGUGAACAGGAGAGCAGCCAGCAAAUGAGCUCUUUAACUUCCAAGGUAAAUGUGUGA
This 1225-nucleotide long non-coding RNA is filed under the name Struthio camelus australis. RNAcentral's name for it is "lncRNA (ENSSCUG00000016634.1)". The record is from RNAcentral. Lineage: Eukaryota; Metazoa; Chordata; Aves; Struthioniformes; Struthionidae.